This 253-nucleotide ribosomal RNA is filed under the name uncultured bacterium. Its description in RNAcentral is "partial 16S ribosomal RNA". It matches the Rfam family "Bacterial small subunit ribosomal RNA", at positions 524 to 776 of the family's 1533-position model. The record is from RNAcentral.
UACAGAGGGUGCAAGCGUUGUUCGGAAUUACUGGGCGUAAAGCGUGCGCAGGCGGUUAUGUAAGACAGGUGUGAAAUCCCCGGGCUUAACCUGGGAACUGCAUUUGUGACUGCAUAGCUAGAGUACGGUAGAGGUUGAUGGAAUUCCAGGUGUAGCGGUGAAAUGCGUAGAUAUCUGGAAGAACACCAGUGGCGAAGGCGGUCAACUGGCCCGUAACUGACGCUGAGGCACGAAAGCGUGGGGAGCGAACAGG